Molecule: ribosomal RNA, 249 nt
Filed under: uncultured bacterium
Lineage: Bacteria
Description: partial 16S ribosomal RNA
Rfam family: Bacterial small subunit ribosomal RNA
Source: RNAcentral
AUACGUAGGUGGCGAGCGUUGUCCGGAUUUACUGGGCGUAAAGGGAGCGUAGGCGGAUUUUUAAGUGAGAUGUGAAAUACUCGGGCUUAACCUGAGUGCUGCAUUUCAAACUGGAAGUCUAGAGUGCAGGAGGAGGAGAAGGGAAUUCCUAGUGUAGCGGUGAAAUGCGUAGAGAUUAGGAAGAACACCAGUGGCGAAGGCGCUUCCUCUGGACUGUAACUGACGCUGAGGCUCGAAAGCGUGGGGAGC